RNAcentral lists this ribosomal RNA (1396 nucleotides) under Triticum aestivum (bread wheat). RNAcentral's name for it is "partial small subunit ribosomal RNA". Lineage: Eukaryota; Viridiplantae; Streptophyta; Magnoliopsida; Poales; Poaceae. The record is from RNAcentral.
CGGCAAAGCAAAUGAAGCGGACGAGGGGGAACUCUUUAGGACAAACAAACAAAGGGGAAGGGGUAGCUAUCCUUCGAACUCGCCGCGUGUAGGAAUCUUGUACAGAGUUCGAUUCCCGGCGGUGCAGUUCCCAUGGACGAGCAGUUCAUCCUCCGCGUGUCCCCAUCCGUGGCGGAGCAGAUCGAGCGUCUUAUGAACGAAUCUGCCGCUGGCUCAUCCUCCAACCCCGACGACGCCUCCCUUGACCUCUCCUUCUCAGAGGAUGGAAGGAGUGGCACAUUUAUGAUUGGUAACCAGAGGUUUCCUGCAUCUCUCUUGGAUCUCCCAACCGUUGUGGAGUCAUAUAAGACAUAUGAUGAUUCCUUUUUAGUUAAAACUGCUGAUAUUGGUCAGAUGGUAAUGGUAAGAGAAGAAGAUGAUCCUGCUCCAGAAGGAGCUGAAUACGAGCAUGGACUUACUCCUCCAAUGAGGGAUGCACGCAGGCGACGUUUUCGCAGAGAGCCUGACUUGAAUGCAGAGCUUGUUCACCGAGUUGAGAAGGAUCUUAUAAGUAUUAUGCAAGGAGUGCCUGUCAGUAUCCUUUUGGUCCGUGUGAUUUGCCAAAUGCAUCUUAGAUUGCAAUAGAACAAAUGACUAGUAAUUUAUUCUUUUCUGUACUGUUUAGUUGGUAGUUUUGCACUUCCAUUGCCUCAUCAACUUCCUGAUGAAUAAACUGCUUGCCCUUUACUUUAGAAGCCAUGAUGUCCAUAUGUAGUUCCCUGUUGAUAAGGAUAAUGCUGAGAAUCUUUUAAGCAUGUCAUUAUAGUGAUUGUGUAUAGAGGUUUCCAAACCUAACCUUCAAUACCUGGAAUGCCUUGUUGAAAGUUGUUUUGUAUCACGACUGCAUCACGUUCAUGGGUCAAACCAUCAUAAAAGGAAACCUCGCUGUUUAUAUGCAAAUAUGCCUGCGUGUAAAGUUCUUUAACUUGUUCGUAGACCAGAAUGCUAGUGUAGCUGGAGGCGGUGAAGGUGGUGAUCGCAAGAAAGCUGCACCAGCUCCUGCACCCAAGCCUGACGUUCAAGAGCCUGCUGCAAAUGGUGAAGAAGCUGAGGCUGAUCGGAGCGACUCUGACGAGUCAGACAGCUGAAGUGGACCAGAAUAGACAGUGCUGCUUCAGUAGGCCGAGCAAACCCAGUGUAUGUAUUAGGUAAUUCAGAUCAAAGAACGCACACUUUUACCAAGCAAGCACGCUUGUUGUCUUCUACUGUACCAAUUAUCAUCUCAUCAGUAAUAAUAAGAGUGACUUUCCAUUAUGGUGGAAAAGUGUCCGUAUCCUCCCAUAAGGUGGCGCUCGAGUCUUUAUUUGUUCAGCCGGAUGUUGAUUAUUGAUUACCAGUGCCGUAAUGUUGCUGAUUU